GAUCCUGGCUCAGAGCGAACGCUAGCGGCGGGCUUAACACAUGCAAGUCGAGCGGAGAGCUUCGGCUCUCAGCGGCGAACGGGUGAGUAACACGUAGGUCAUGUACCCUUUGAUGGGGAAUAACCUAGGGAAACCUGGGCUAAUACCGCAUAUGUCCUUCGGGAUGAAAGCCUUCGGGCGUCAGAGGAUCGGCCUGCGGCCCAUUAUUUAAUCCUAGUUGGUAGGGUAAUGGCCUACCAAGGGUACGAUGGGUAGCUGGUCUGAGAGGAUGAUCAGCCACACUGGAACUGAGACACGGUUCAGACUCCUACGGGAGGCAGCAGUGGGGAAUAUUGGACAAUGGGCGAAAGCCUGAUCCAGCCACGCCGCGUGGGUGAUGAAGGCCUUCGGGUUGUAAAGCCCUGUCGGGAGGGACGAAUCAAUGACGGUACCUCCCAAGAAAGCACCGGCUAACUCCGUG
This 460-nucleotide ribosomal RNA is filed under the name uncultured bacterium. Its description in RNAcentral is "bacterial SSU rRNA". It matches the Rfam family "Bacterial small subunit ribosomal RNA", at positions 15 to 507 of the family's 1533-position model. The record is from RNAcentral.